GGACUUGGCAACGCGAGCUUAUACCUCGAGUGAGGGCAUUAAGGUGAUUGGACUUGGGCUUGGCAUUGUCAGGUUGGGCUUGUGGUGCCAUAUUACUGACUUGCCCGUUCCAAGUUGGGAGUUGGGCUAUGUGGAACGGGGGAAGGCCUGUGCCACUUGGUUCCUAGAGAGGAGGGCACCUCGUCAGGCUGGUUUCACAGAGCAGCGAAAACCUCCCUCCCUCGACAGUGGAAGGAUAACGAGACGGGUGCUCCAUGAGUCCACUACGGCCAGAUGGGCCCAGUCCAAAGGACAAUCACCUUU
This 303-nucleotide signal recognition particle RNA is filed under the name Thalictrum thalictroides. RNAcentral describes it as "Plant signal recognition particle RNA". It matches the Rfam family "Plant signal recognition particle RNA". The record is from Rfam by way of RNAcentral. Lineage: Eukaryota; Viridiplantae; Streptophyta; Magnoliopsida; Ranunculales; Ranunculaceae.